This 76-nucleotide transfer RNA is filed under the name Candidatus Peregrinibacteria bacterium. RNAcentral describes it as "tRNA-Thr". It matches the Rfam family "tRNA". Rfam says of the family: Transfer RNA (tRNA) molecules are approximately 80 nucleotides in length. Their secondary structure includes four short double-helical elements and three loops (D, anti-codon, and T loops). Lineage: Bacteria; Candidatus Peregrinibacteriota. The record is from RNAcentral.
GCCGUUGUAGCUCAGUUGGUAGAGCACGUCCAUGGUAAGGACGGGGUCACGGGUUCAACUCCCGUCAACGGCUCCA